CCAUGCAAAUGCCUCGUCAUGCUAUAGCACUUCUAAACGGGGCUGCGGGUUGAGCACGUGAAGAGCCGUUUAUUAUCGGAGCAGAAGGAAUGGCAGCACCUUGUUUCAGUUCCUCUCCACAACUCAUGACUGUCAUGAUGCUUCCAGGCUCUAAUUUCUCUAUCUGCAGUUCUUUGCACUUAGCAAGAAGAGUGCAGUGGUUCAAGAAAGCCACCAUCAUCUCCAGGACAAUUACAGACAUGCACUAAAUGUUGGCAAAGACAGAAAUACCCACAUUCUGUGAAUAAAUAAAGAUAAAAAGAAUCUGUUGAUCACAGCCUCACUGA
Molecule: long non-coding RNA, 326 nt
Organism: Rhincodon typus (whale shark)
Lineage: Eukaryota; Metazoa; Chordata; Chondrichthyes; Orectolobiformes; Rhincodontidae
Exons: 3
Source: RefSeq, a predicted model, not a curated record